Molecule: long non-coding RNA, 886 nt
Organism: Asparagus officinalis (garden asparagus)
Lineage: Eukaryota; Viridiplantae; Streptophyta; Magnoliopsida; Asparagales; Asparagaceae
Exons: 3
Source: RefSeq, a predicted model, not a curated record
UUUCUCUCUCUCUCCCGAAAAAUCCCCAAUCCCUCCUCCAUCUCCAAUCGGAGCUCCCCCUCCAUUUCCAAUCCGCCAUCUCCAUCGCCGACGAUCUCCCAAAUCACCCAUCUCUAACCGGAGCUCCCCAGAUCCGCCUCACCACCACGAACCCCAUGACUACGAAAUUUGAGACCGCCUCCUCCGCCACGACUACGAAGUCUGAGACCGCCGACUUCCCCAACUCAUCCGAUGCCGACGACGAUUAAGUCUAACUCCGUCGACCGUGACCGACUAUCCCCAACUCCCUCGAGCUCGAUCUCGAGAUCCCCCAACUCAGAGUUAUGGUCUCAUUGAGUCAUUCUGAGCGUAGUACCUCUCUCUAUUGAGUCAAGAUUAACAUUCUUUGUUCAAGAGAUGUGAAGCUAUCUUAUGUUUACUCAAACAACAUGUAAAAGAUCCCGGUUCUUGUAGAUAAUAAAGCAUCAGUUAUCAAUGUUCGUUGGAUUCAGAAGCCUGAGCGAAGCAGACAUAAUAAAGUAGGAUUCGAGGGAAGAGCUCAUUGAUUGAGGUGGCGAAGAAUUAGUUGUUGAUGUAAAAUAGCAAUUUAGUUGACUAAUUGGGAGGAAACUGUAGCAAUGUUUAUACAUUGAGGAAGGUAGGAGCAGCAGGUUAUGGAAUUAUAUAUUACCAAGCUCACGAUCAUGGUCUGUGCAGGAUAAGUUUUGAAGGAUAUGGAAAAGAUGCUACAUAUGUACUCAAGGGACAUAUAAUCAUAUAUGUUAAAAGAGGUCAAGUUAAGGUCAUAGAAAAGCAGCAUGAGAGGUAGACGAAGAGUGCUCUGUAGGAGUCAAUGCAGAGAUGUAUGCAAGACUUCAUUUCAUCCACUUAAACAUGUUGAUUCCAA